GGGGAUUUAGCUUAGUGGUAGAGCACUUGCCUAGCAAGCACAAGGCCCUGGGUUCGGUGCCCAGCUCCG
RNAcentral lists this transfer RNA (69 nucleotides) under Rattus norvegicus (Norway rat). It matches the Rfam family "tRNA". From Rfam's summary of the family: Transfer RNA (tRNA) molecules are approximately 80 nucleotides in length. Their secondary structure includes four short double-helical elements and three loops (D, anti-codon, and T loops). The record is from Rfam by way of RNAcentral. Lineage: Eukaryota; Metazoa; Chordata; Mammalia; Rodentia; Muridae.